CCCCUAGAUGUCCUGGGCUGCACGCGCGCUACACUGAUGUGUCCAGUAAGCACCUAACCUCUUCCGAAAGGAACGGGUAACCUUUGCAAAGCACAUCGUGAUGGGGAUAGAUUAUUGCAAUUAUUAGUCUUGAACGAGGAAUUCCUAGUAAGCACAAGUCAUCAGCUUGUGUUGAUUACGUCCCUGCCCUUUGUACACACCGCCCGUCGCUCCUACCGAUUGAAUGUUCCGGUGAGCUCUUCGGACUGCGCGGUCUGCAGUUUCUGCGUUCCGUGCGGAAAGUUGCGCAAACCUUAACAUUUAGAGGAAGGAGAAGUCGUAACA
RNAcentral lists this ribosomal RNA (324 nucleotides) under uncultured eukaryote. RNAcentral's name for it is "partial 18S ribosomal RNA". It matches the Rfam family "Eukaryotic small subunit ribosomal RNA", at positions 1470 to 1796 of the family's 1831-position model. The record is from RNAcentral.